Molecule: ribosomal RNA, 429 nt
Filed under: Pseudomonadota bacterium
Lineage: Bacteria; Pseudomonadati; Pseudomonadota
Description: Proteobacteria bacterium partial 16S ribosomal RNA
Rfam family: Bacterial small subunit ribosomal RNA
Source: RNAcentral
UGGGGAAUAUUGGACAAUGGGCGAAAGCCUGAUCCAGCCAUGCCGUGUGUGUGAAGAAGGUCUUCGGAUUGUAAAGCACUUUAAGUUGGGAGGAAGGGCAGUAAGCGAAUACCUUGCUGUUUUGACGUUACCGACAGAAUAAGCACCGGCUAACUCUGUGCCAGCAGCCGCGGUAAUACAGAGGGUGCAAGCGUUAAUCGGAAUGACUGGGCGUAAAGCGCGCGUAGGUGGUUCGUUAAGUUGAAUGUGAAAGCCCCGGGCUCAACCUGGGAACUGCAUCCAAAACUGGCGAGCUAGAGUAGGGCAGAGGGUGGUGGAAUUUCCUGUGUAGCGGUGAAAUGCGUAGAUAUAGGAAGGAACACCAGUGGCAAAGGCGACCACCUGGGCUCAUACUGACACUGAGGUGCGAAAGCGUGGGGAGCAAACAGG